GCUGGGCAUUGUGGCGGGUGCCUGUGUUUCCAGCUACUUGGGAGGCUGAGGCAAGAGACUCGCUUGAGCCCAGGAGUUGGAGGUUGCUGUGAGCUGUGAUGCCACAGCACUCUACCCAGGGGGACAGCUUGAGGCUCUGUCUCAAAAAAAAGACAGAGUCUUACUUUAUCACCCUAGGUAAAGUGCGUGAUGUCAUAGCUUACAGCAACCUCCAACUCUUGGGUUCGAGCGAUCUUCUUGCCU
This 243-nucleotide small RNA is filed under the name Otolemur garnettii (small-eared galago). RNAcentral describes it as "Metazoan signal recognition particle RNA (ENSOGAG00000024234.1)". Lineage: Eukaryota; Metazoa; Chordata; Mammalia; Primates; Galagidae. The record is from RNAcentral.